AGGAAUUGGCGGGAGCACUAUACAAGGGGUGGAGCGUGCGGUUUAAUUGGAUUCAACGCCGGGAACCUCACCGGGGGCGACGGCAGGAUGAAGGCCAGGGUGAACGUCUUGCCGGACACGCCGAGAGGAGGUGCAUGGCCGCCGUCAGCUUGUACCGUGAGGCGUCCANUUAAGUGUGGUAACGAGCGAGACCCGCGCCCCCAGUUCCCAGUCUUCCCNGCUGGGGAGGAGGCACUCUGGGGGGACUGCCGGCGAUAAGCCGGAGGAAGGAGCGGGCGACGGUAGGUCAGUAUGCCCCGAAACCCCCGGGCUACACGCGGGCUACAAUGGGCGGGACAAUGGGAUCCGACCCCGAAAGGGGAAGGGAAUCCCCUAAACCCGCCCCCAGUUCGGAUUGCGGGCUGCAACUCGCCCGCAUGAAGCUGGAAUCCCGUAGUACCCGCGUGUC
This 448-nucleotide ribosomal RNA is filed under the name uncultured Thermococcales archaeon. RNAcentral's name for it is "bacterial SSU rRNA". It matches the Rfam family "Archaeal small subunit ribosomal RNA", at positions 860 to 1306 of the family's 1478-position model. The record is from RNAcentral. Lineage: Archaea; Methanobacteriati; Methanobacteriota; Thermococci; Thermococcales.